GACGAACGCUGGCGGCGUGCUUAACACAUGCAAGUCGAACGGAAAGGCCCUGCUUUUGUGGGGUGCUCGAGUGGCGAACGGGUGAGUAACACGUGAGUAACCUGCCCUUGACUUUGGGAUAACUUCAGGAAACUGGGGCUAAUACCGGAUAGGAGCUCCUGCUGCAUGGUGGGGGUUGGAAAGUUUCGGCGGUUGGGGAUGGACUCGCGGCUUAUCAGCUUGUUGGUGGGGUAGUGGCUUACCAAGGCUUUGACGGGUAGCCGGCCUGAGAGGGUGACCGGCCACAUUGGACUGAGAUACGGCCCAGACUCCUACGGGAGGCAGCAGUGGGGAAUAUUGCACAAUGGGCGGAAGCCUGAUGCAGCAAUGCCGCGUGCGGGAUGACGGCCUUCGGGUUGUAAACCGCUUUCGCCUGUGACGAAGCGUGAGUGACGGUAAUGGGUAAAGAAGCACCGGCUAACUACGUG
RNAcentral lists this ribosomal RNA (467 nucleotides) under uncultured bacterium. RNAcentral's name for it is "partial 16S ribosomal RNA". It matches the Rfam family "Bacterial small subunit ribosomal RNA", at positions 28 to 507 of the family's 1533-position model. The record is from RNAcentral.